RNAcentral lists this ribosomal RNA (584 nucleotides) under uncultured bacterium. RNAcentral's name for it is "bacterial SSU rRNA". It matches the Rfam family "Bacterial small subunit ribosomal RNA", at positions 338 to 916 of the family's 1533-position model. The record is from RNAcentral.
CCUACGGGAGGCAGCAGUGGGGAAUUUUGGGCAAUGGCCGAAAGGCUGACCAGCAACGCCGCGUGAAGGAUGAAAUUUUUCGGAAUGUAAACUUCGUAAAUUAGGAAAGAAUAAGUUUGUACUAAUACUGCAAGCGAUGACGGUACCUAAUGUAAGCCCCGGCUAACUCCGUGCCAGCAGCCGCGGUAAUACGGGGGGGGCAAGCGUUGUUCGGAAUUAUUGGGCGUAAAGGGCGCGUAGGCGGUCAGACUAAGUCGAAUGUAAAAUACCAAGGCUUAACCUAGGCAGGUCGUUCGAUACUAGUCGACUAGAGUGUGGAAGGGGUUGCCGGAAUUCCUGGUGUAGCGGUGAAAUGCGUAGAUAUCAGGAGGAACACCGGAGGCGAAGGCGGGCAACUGGGCCAACACUGACGCUGAGGCGCGAAAGCUAGGGGAGCAAACAGGAUUAGAUACCCUGGUAGUCCUAGCCUUAAACGAUGAUGACUUGGUGUGUCGGGUUUUAAGUCCCGGCGUGCCGGAGCUAACGCGAUAAGUCAUCCGCCUGGGGAGUACGGUCGCAAGACUGAAACUCAAAGGAAUUGACGG